RNAcentral lists this ribosomal RNA (1328 nucleotides) under human metagenome. Its description in RNAcentral is "bacterial LSU rRNA". It matches the Rfam family "Bacterial large subunit ribosomal RNA", at positions 1404 to 2611 of the family's 2925-position model. The record is from RNAcentral.
GACAGGCGUAGUCGAUGGACAACGGGUUGAUAUUCCCGUACCGGCGAAACAACGUCCGUGCUGGGGCACGCGAUGCUAAGCAUGCGAGACUGUCUGCUGCCUUUCGGGGUGGUGGGUGGUUGAGUCUGUGAUCCGAGUGUGUAGUAGGCAAGCCGCGGAGGGACGCAGGAAGGUAGCUCAUCCUCAGCGUUGGUUGUCUGAGGCUAAGUGUGUAGGGUGGGGUGUAGGUAAAUCCGCAUUCCGUGAUGCCUGAGACACGAUGGGCCUGCACCGUUUGGGUGUGGGUUGAGUGAUCCUAUGCUGCCUAGAAAAGCUUCGUUGGCGAGUUGUUAGCCGCCCGUACCCUAAACCGACACAGGUGGAUAGGUAGAGAAUACCGAGGCGAUCGGGAUAAUCGUGGUGAAGGAACUCGGCAAAAUACCCCCGUAACUUCGGGAUAAGGGGGACCUGAUACGUGACCAGCCUUGCGUUGUGAGCGUUGAGGGUCGCAGAGACCAGGCCCAAGCGACUGUUUACUAAAAACACAGGUCCGUGCCAACUCGUAAGAGGAUGUAUACGGACUGACUCCUGCCCGGUGCUGGAAGGUUAAGGGGAACUGUCAGCCGCAUUUUGUGUGGUGAAGCGGUGAACUUAAGCCCCAGUAAACGGCGGUGGUAACUAUAACCAUCCUAAGGUAGCGAAAUUCCUUGUCGGGUAAGUUCCGACCUGCACGAAUGGAGUAACGAUUUGGGCGCUGUCUCCACCACGAACCCGGUGAAAUUGCAUUACGAGUAAAGAUGCUCGUUACGCGCAGCAGGACGGAAAGACCCCGGGACCUUUACUACAGUUUGGUAUUGGUGAUCGGUGUGACUUGUGUAGGAUAGGUGGGAGACUUUGAAACCGGGACGCCAGUUCCGGUGGAGUCGUCGUUGAAAUACCACUCUGGUCAUUCUGGUUAUCUAACCUAGGACCGUUAUCCGGUUCAGGGACAGUGCCUGAUGGGUAGUUUGACUGGGGCGGUCGCCUCCUAAAAGGUAACGGAGGCGCCCAAAGGUUCCCUCAGCCUGGUUGGCAAUCAGGUUUCGAGUGUAAGUGCACAAGGGAGCUUGACUGUGAGACCGACGGGUCGAGCAGGGACGAAAGUCGGGACUAGUGAUCUUCUGGUAGCGAAUGGAAGCGCCAGGACUCAACGGAUAAAAGGUACCCCGGGGAUAACAGGCUGAUCUUGCCCGAGCGUCCAUAGCGACGGCAUGGUUUGGCACCUCGAUGUCGGCUCGUCGCAUCCUGGGGCUGGAGUCGGUCCCAAGGGUUGGGCUGUUCGCCCAUUAAAGCGGCACGCGAGCUGGGUU